AACGCACAUUGCACCUCUCGGUAAUCCUUGAGGUAUACCUGUUCGAGCGCCGUUUGUGUCAUGAGGCAUUGCCUUGCGAUGAUGAUUGUCCGGGAGGACGGUUGUCGAAACAGAUUGGCGUCUGCAUUUGACGUGAAUUGCAGCAAAAUGCGAAACACGUGGAAGGCAGACGGCCUGCUCGAAAAUUCAAGCAUGGCCUCGGAUCAGGUAGGGAUACCCGCUGAACUUAA
This 230-nucleotide unclassified non-coding RNA is filed under the name uncultured fungus. Its description in RNAcentral is "partial contains 5.8S ribosomal RNA, internal transcribed spacer 2, and large subunit ribosomal RNA". The record is from RNAcentral. Lineage: Eukaryota; Fungi.